ACAAUUAGCUGUUGGGACACUAGAUGUUUUAGUAGCGAAGCUAACGCGUGAAAUUGUCCGCCUGGGGAGUACGGUCGCAAGAUUAAAACUCAAAGGAAUUGACGGGGACCCGCACAAGCGGUGGAUGAUGUGGAUUAAUUCGAUGCAACGCGAAGAACCUUACCUGGUCUUGACAUGUACGGAAUCUCUUAGAGAUAGGAGAGUGCCUUCGGGAACCGUAACACAGGUGCUGCAUGGCUGUCGUCAGCUCGUGUCGUGAGAUGUUGGGUUAAGUCCCGCAACGAGCGCAACCCUUGUCAUUAGUUGCCAUCAUUAAGUUGGGCACUCUAAUGAGACUGCCGGUGAUAUGCCGGAGGAAGGUGGGGAUGACGUCAAGUCCUCAUGGCCCUUAUGACCAGGGCUUCACACGUCAUACAAUGGUCGGUACAGAGGGUAGCGAAGCCGCGAGGUGAAGCCAAUCUCAGAAAGCCGAUCGUAGUCCGGAUUGCACUCUGCAACUCGAGUGCAUGAAGUCGGAAUCGCUAGUAAUCGCAGGUCAGCAUACUGCGGUGAAUACGUUCCCGGGUCU
Molecule: ribosomal RNA, 568 nt
Filed under: uncultured Neisseriaceae bacterium
Lineage: Bacteria; Pseudomonadati; Pseudomonadota; Betaproteobacteria; Neisseriales; Neisseriaceae
Description: bacterial SSU rRNA
Rfam family: Bacterial small subunit ribosomal RNA
Source: RNAcentral